ACAUCCAGCGAACUUGGCAGAGAUGCCUUGGUGCCUUCGGGAACGCUGAGACAGGUGCUGCAUGGCUGUCGUCAGCUCGUGUUGUGAAAUGUGGGUUAAGUCCCGCAACGAGCGCAACCCUUAUCCCUUUGUUGCCAGCGAUUCGGUCGGGAACUCAAAGGAGACUGCCGGUGAUAAACCGGAGGAAGGUGGGGAUGACGUCAAGUCAUCAUGGCCCUUACGAGUAGGGCUACACACGUGCUACAAUGGCGCAUACAAAGAGAAGCGACCUCGCGAGAGCAAGCGGACCUCAUAAAGUGCGUCGUAGUCCGGAUCGGAGUCUGCAACUCGACUCCGUGAAGUCGGAAUCGCUAGUAAUCGUGGAUCAGAAUGCCACGGUGAAUACGUUCCCGGGCCUUGUACACACCGCCCGUCACACCAUGGGAGUGGGUUGCAAAAGAAGUAGGUAGCUUAACCUUCGGGAGGGCGCUUACCACUUUGUGAUUCAUGACUGGGGUGAAGUCGUAACAAGGUAAGCGUAGCGAG
Molecule: ribosomal RNA, 525 nt
Filed under: uncultured bacterium
Lineage: Bacteria
Description: bacterial SSU rRNA
Rfam family: Bacterial small subunit ribosomal RNA
Source: RNAcentral